Loxodonta africana (African savanna elephant) is the source of this 71-nucleotide transfer RNA. It matches the Rfam family "tRNA". From Rfam's summary of the family: Transfer RNA (tRNA) molecules are approximately 80 nucleotides in length. Their secondary structure includes four short double-helical elements and three loops (D, anti-codon, and T loops). NCBI's taxonomy places the organism in Eukaryota, Metazoa, Chordata, Mammalia, Proboscidea, Elephantidae. The record is from Rfam.
GUGUUGGUGGUUCAGUGGUAGAAUUCUCACCUUCCAUGUGGGAGACCCGGCUUUGAUUCCCAGCCAACACC